UACGGGGGGGCAAGCGUUGUUCGGAAUUACUGGGCGUAAAGGGCUCGUCGGCGGCCAACUCAGUCGGAUGUGAAAUCCCCAGGCUUAACCUGGGAACUGCAUCCGAUACUGGAUGGCUUGAAUCCGGGAGAGGGAUGCGGAAUUCCAGGUGUAGCGGUGAAAUGCGUAGAUAUCUGGAGGAACACCGGUGGCGAAGGCGGCAUCCUGGACCGGCAUUGACGCUGAGGAGCGAAAGCCAGGGGAGCAAACGGG
RNAcentral lists this ribosomal RNA (252 nucleotides) under uncultured bacterium. RNAcentral describes it as "partial 16S ribosomal RNA". It matches the Rfam family "Bacterial small subunit ribosomal RNA", at positions 524 to 776 of the family's 1533-position model. The record is from RNAcentral.